This 800-nucleotide ribosomal RNA is filed under the name uncultured bacterium. RNAcentral describes it as "bacterial SSU rRNA". It matches the Rfam family "Bacterial small subunit ribosomal RNA", at positions 8 to 817 of the family's 1533-position model. The record is from RNAcentral.
AGAGUUUGAUCCUGGCUCAGGAUGAACGCUGGCGGCGUGCCUAACACAUGCAAGUCGAGCGAAGUAUUAAUGAAGCUUGCUUUAUUAAUACUAGCGGCGGACGGGUGAGUAACGCGUGGGCAACCUGCCCUACACAGAGGGAUAACAGUUAGAAAUGGCUGCUAAUACCUCAUAAGCUCCCACUGCGGCAUCGCAGAGGGAGAAAAGAUUUAUCGGUGUAGGAGGGACCCGCGUCUGAUUAGCUGGUUGGUGAGGUAACGGCUCACCAAGGCGACGAUCAGUAGCCGACCUGAGAGGGUGAUCGGCCACAUUGGAACUGAGACACGGUCCAAACUCCUACGGGAGGCAGCAGUGGGGAAUAUUGCACAAUGGGGGAAACCCUGAUGCAGCGACGCCGCGUGAAGGAAGAAGUAUUUCGGUAUGUAAACUUCUAUCAAUAGGGACGAAGAAAGUGACGGUACCUAACUAAGAAGCACCGGCUAAAUACGUGCCAGCAGCCGCGGUAAUACGUAUGGUGCGAGCGUUAUCCGGAUUUACUGGGUGUAAAGGGUGAGUAGGCGGUUAUGCAAGUCAUAUGUGAAAUGUCGGGGCUUAACCCCGGCGCUGCAUAAGAAACUGUAUAACUAGAGUGCAGGAGAGGCAAGCGGAAUUCCCAGUGUAGCGGUGAAAUGCGUAGAUAUUGGGAAGAACACCGGUGGCGAAGGCGGCUUGCUGGACUGUAACUGACGCUGAGUCACGAAAGCGUGGGGAGCGAACAGGAUUAGAUACCCUGGUAGUCCACGCCGUAAACGAUGAGUGCU